Non-coding RNA from Labeo rohita (rohu), 1159 nucleotides. Lineage: Eukaryota; Metazoa; Chordata; Actinopteri; Cypriniformes; Cyprinidae. The record is from the annotation of a RefSeq genome assembly.
AUGGUAACAAGAAUGAAACUGGUUGACUAUAUCCUCUACGCAAAACUAGAAUUUGGAGAAGGAACCAAACUGACAGUUCUAGCUACAAAUGUCACUUAUCCUAAAGUCAAGAUCCUACCACCUUCUCCAAAAGAAAUCUGUUCCCAGAACAAGCCAGAUAAAUGGUCAACGUUAGUGUGUGUGGCCACAGGCUUUUAUCCUGAUCAUGUGAGUGUGUCCUGGAAAGUGAAUGGUGAAGAGAGACAGGACAAUGUAUCAACUGACACCUCAGCCCAACAAGACAAGACAACAUUAAUGUACCAUAUCAGCAGCAGAAUGAAAAUUAAAGACACAGACUGGAUGGAUCCUCAAAAAAAUUUCACCUGCACCGUCCAUUUUUUCAACGGAGAUAAAUACGUCAAUGUCACAAACACCAUAAAUGGUCAAAAAGAGAAGCCAAAAGGAUUGAAACUGCUUGGAUUUGGCUACAUCCUAUUCCUCAGCAAAAGCCUGCUGUACGCAUUGAUUGUGGCUGGCGUAGUGUGCAAACUCAAGUUUUCAGCAGAGAAGAAACAAUUACCAGAGGACUGAGAUACCUUGAAACUUUGUCAGUGAGAGGCCAGAAGUGACUUUCUUUAUUAUUUACAAUAUGUGUAAAAUGUCAGUGUAUUUCCCACAUUUUACCUAGAUUCACAUUUUUUUGUUUUAAGCAUGGGAGUUUACUGUAGAUAGUGACUGGAUAUGAAUGAAUAACUAACAAUGAGAAACAGAUUAAGUGGAAUAUGAUAUAAACUGUAUUGGUUUCUGUUUUGUGCUAUGACUAAAACAUUUUACGUAAUUCUAAGGCCUGUUUUAUGAGAAACUGAGAAUAUUUGCAUGUUUUUUUUUUUCUUCCAGUGGAAGAUCUGCACUUUGGAAAGUGUGGGUUGUUAUCUCAGUUACGUAAGAAUCUUCCAUUGCAAUACAAAAAAUAAGACUUUAAAUGAAUAUAUAUUGUGACGUCUGAAUUUCUCAUAAUGAGUUCUGAAGCUUUUUUAACAAUCUGUAGAAGAAGGAACUUACAAAGUGAUAAGAACAAUGUGACUGUAACUGAAAAAACAAAACAAAAACAAAAACAGCAUCUUGAUUUUGUUAAUAUAUAAAUUCUUUUAAUGUAAAAUGUGUUUGUUUUCUGCUUGCA